GAUGAACGCUAGCGGGAGGCCUAACACAUGCAAGCCGAGCGGUAGAGUCUCUUUCGGAGACUUGAGAGCGGCGCACGGGUGCGGAACACGUGUGCAACCUGCCUUUAUCUGGAAGUAUAGCCCACCGAAAGGUGGAUUUAAUACUCCAUAAUAUAUUGAUUGGCAUCAGUUAAUAUUGAAAGCUCCGGCGGAUAAAGAUGGGCACGCGCAAGAUUAGAUAGUUGGUGAGGUAACGGCUCACCAAGUCUGCGAUCUUUAGGGGGCCUGAGAGGGUGAUCCCCCACACUGGUACUGAGACACGGACCAGACUCCUACGGGAGGCAGCAGUGAGGAAUAUUGGACAAUGGGUGCAAGCCUGAUCCAGCCAUCCCGCGUGAAGGAUUAAGGUCCUAUGGAUUGUAAACUUCUUUUCUACAGGGAUAAACCUAUUUACGUGUAAAUAGCUGAAGGUACUGUAGGAAUAAGCACCGGCUAACUCCGUGCCAGCAGCCGCGGUAAUACGGAGGGUGCAAGCGUUAUCCGGAUUUAUUGGGUUUAAAGGGUCCGUAGGCGGAUCUAUAAGUCAGUGGUGAAAGCCGACAGCUUAACUGUCGAACUGCCGUUGAUACUGUAGGUCUUGAGUAAAUUUGAAGUGGCUGGAAUAAGUAGUGUAGCGGUGAAAUGCAUAGAUAUUACUUAGAACACCAAUUGCGAAGGCAGGUCACUAAGAUUUAACUGACGCUGAUGGACGAAAGCGUGGGGAGCGAACAGGAUUAGAUACCCUGGUAGUCCACGCCGUAAACGAUGCUAACUCGUUUUUGGAUUUUCGGAUUCAGAGACCAAGCGAAAGUGAUAAGUUAGCCACCUGGGGAGUACGUUCGCAAGAAUGAAACUCAAAGGAAUUGACGGGGGCCCGCACAAGCGGUGGAUUAUGUGGUUUAAUUCGAUGAUACGCGAGGAACCUUACCAAGACUUAAAUGGGAAAUGACAGAUUUAGAAAUAGAUCCUUCUUCGGACAUUUUUCAAGGUGCUGCAUGGUUGUCGUCAGCUCGUGCCGUGAGGUGUUAGGUUAAGUCCUGCAACGAGCGCAACCCCUGUCACUAGUUGCUAACAUUUAGUUGAGGACUCUAGUGAGACUGCCUACGCAAGUAGAGAGGAAGGUGGGGAUGACGUCAAAUCAUCACGGCCCUUACGUCUUGGGCCACACACGUAAUACAAUGGCCGGUACAGAGGGCAGCUACACAGCGAUGUGAUGCAAAUCUCGAAAGCCGGUCUCAGUUCGGAUUGGAGUCUGCAACUCGACUCUAUGAAGCUGGAAUCGCUAGUAAUCGCGCAUCAGCCAUGGCGCGGUGAAUACGUUCCCGGGCCU
RNAcentral lists this ribosomal RNA (1348 nucleotides) under uncultured bacterium. RNAcentral's name for it is "bacterial SSU rRNA". It matches the Rfam family "Bacterial small subunit ribosomal RNA", at positions 28 to 1381 of the family's 1533-position model. The record is from RNAcentral.